UGGUGCCCUGCAUGGCAGCUAAUCGUUGUUGGUGUGUGUCGAAUGGGUGAAUGAGAAGCAUCAACUGUACAGUGCUUUGAAUAAAGGAGCUGUAUAAAUCCAUACAUUUACCAUUUCAUCGACCUGACUGCAGAAGGAUGAUUUCUGAGGGAAACUCUUUUAAAAGACAGUUGUUGAUCCUUUUGUAGAAUUCUGCAUGUCUUGAAGGCAGUGAUGGUCAGUGUGAUGAGGCACGAUUGACUCCUAAUUGUCCAGUGAGGUCUUUCCCAGAGGCUUCUGAUUGCCUUUGGAGUCUGAUAUGGGCGUUUGUCAAAAAGAUAACCCAAGUCAAGGAAGCCAUUACAAAGCUGUGAAUCCUGUUACCAGCCCAUCCCCAUGACUACCAAUGAAUACCAGCCCUGUGUGAAACUCUGCAUGUUCUACUGAUGGAGGUUGUAUUUAACAGAGCCGCACCGGGGAGAGAGCCGGCGAGGAGAAUCAGCUCCAUGGCCAGCGACACGGGGAAAGACGCGUGGGGAAUGUGAGGAAGAAAUGAUUAACCUUUCUCAUUGGACAGGCGCAGCCGUACGGACUCCAAGAGAGAGAGAGGAGCCUUACAAAAGACGGGGCGCAACCACAGAGCGGGGCUGAGUAAGGAGAAAGAUGGAGACGCAGCCAGUGCUAAACGAAACGAAACGAAACGAAACGAAACGAAACGAAACGAAACGAAACGAAACGAAACGAAACGACACGACACGACCACAAAAACCUGAACAACGACACCACGGUGGAGCCGCGGGGCUUCGGAGGCUCGGGAAAAGGCGGGGGGCGGAAUGGACCACCCACAGUCACCGACGGACCGGUGUACCUAAUUUCUCUCUGCCUCUCUCUCCCUCUCUCUCCCCACGGGGCGCCACAGUAUGUAAAUAGAACUAUUAAUUUAGAAUUGAAGACGUAUGAUAAAUAAAUAAAUGUUUGGCUAAAUGUUUGGUUUUUUUAGCUUUUAGUUUUUUUGAUAGAAACUAUCAAUUCAGGGUUAGUUUAUUCUGCAGAAGGUGAGUUGGUUCAUGCAACAGGAUGUUAAAAGUCUCACAGGACACAAGAAUUCCUCAGACAAAUAAGAAGGAUGUUGCUGCAAAAAAUGUCAGUUAAAACUUAAACAGAUUGUGUUGUAGUACAGUAGUAGGAUGGAGAUCCACAUUCCAAAAGUCACCUUUGUGUGUAUAGAUGCUCUUCUGUAUAUCACUGUUGUAAUGUGUGGUUAUUUGCAUUACUGUCACCUUCCUGUCAGCUUUGACCAGUCCGGCCAUUCUCCUCUGACA
Molecule: long non-coding RNA, 1301 nt
Organism: Conger conger (European conger)
Lineage: Eukaryota; Metazoa; Chordata; Actinopteri; Anguilliformes; Congridae
Exons: 3
Source: RefSeq, a predicted model, not a curated record